RNAcentral lists this ribosomal RNA (253 nucleotides) under uncultured bacterium. RNAcentral's name for it is "partial 16S ribosomal RNA". It matches the Rfam family "Bacterial small subunit ribosomal RNA", at positions 524 to 776 of the family's 1533-position model. The record is from RNAcentral.
UACGUAGGGUGCAAGCGUUAUUCGGAAUUACUGGGCGUAAAGCGUGCGCAGGCGGUGCUGUAAGACAGAUGUGAAAUCCCCGGGCUCAACCUGGGAACUGCAUUUGUGACUGCAUCGCUGGAGUGCGGCAGAGGGGGAUGGAAUUCCGCGUGUAGCAGUGAAAUGCGUAGAUAUGCGGAGGAACACCGAUGGCGAAGGCAAUCCCCUGGGCCUGCACUGACGCUCAUGCACGAAAGCGUGGGGAGCAAACAGG